AUCCUUUAAAGAAAGCGUAAUAGCUCACUAGUCGAGUCGGCCUGCGCGGAAGAUGUAACGGGGCUCAAACCACACACCGAAGCUGCGGGUGUCACGUAAGUGACGCGGUAGAGGAGCGUUCUGUAAGCCUGUGAAGGUGAGUUGAGAAGCUUGCUGGAGGUAUCAGAAGUGCGAAUGCUGACAUGAGUAACGACAAUGGGUGUGAAAAACACCCACGCCGAAAGACCAAGGGUUCCUGCGCAACGUUAAUCGACGCAGGGUUAGUCGGUUCCUAAGGCGAGGCUGAAAAGCGUAGUCGAUGGGAAACAGGUUAAUAUUCCUGUACUUCUGGUUACUGCGAUGGAGGGACGGAGAAGGCUAGGCCAGCUUGGCGUUGGUUGUCCAAGUUUAAGGUGGUAGGCUGAAAUCUUAGGUAAAUCCGGGGUUUCAAGGCCGAGAGCUGAUGACGAGUCGUCUUUUAGAUGACGAAGUGGUUGAUGCCAUGCUUCCAAGAAAAGCUUCUAAGCUUCAGG
This 512-nucleotide ribosomal RNA is filed under the name Escherichia coli. Its description in RNAcentral is "partial 23S ribosomal RNA". It matches the Rfam family "Bacterial large subunit ribosomal RNA", at positions 1118 to 1632 of the family's 2925-position model. Lineage: Bacteria; Pseudomonadati; Pseudomonadota; Gammaproteobacteria; Enterobacterales; Enterobacteriaceae. The record is from RNAcentral.